Molecule: ribosomal RNA, 253 nt
Filed under: uncultured bacterium
Lineage: Bacteria
Description: partial 16S ribosomal RNA
Rfam family: Bacterial small subunit ribosomal RNA
Source: RNAcentral
UGCGUAGGGGGCAAGCGUUGUCCGGAAUCAUUGGGCGUAAAGCGCGUGUAGGCGGUUCGGUAAGUCUGCUGUGAAAGUCCAGGGCUCAACCCUGGGAUGCCGGUGGAUACUGUCGGACUAGAGUACGGAAGAGGCAAGUGGAAUUCCCGGUGUAGCGGUGAAAUGCGUAGAUAUCGAGAGGAACACCUGCGGCGAAGGCGGGUUGCUGGGCUGACACUGACGCUGAUGCGCGAAAGCCAGGGGAGCGAACGGG